CGGAUAGAGGUUGCGGCUUUUAUCAGUACCCCGGCUCCUAUGGAAGCACCCGCCGGAUCGGGGGAAAGGAAACGCCGCCGAAGGAACCGUGCAGGGCAGCAGGGCUCCUGAUGGUGCAUUGAACAGGUGUACCAUUGUCAUCAUAGAGUAUGAUGGAGCGCUAUC
This 165-nucleotide non-coding RNA is filed under the name chicken gut metagenome. RNAcentral's name for it is "Lysine riboswitch". It matches the Rfam family "Lysine riboswitch aptamer". From Rfam's summary of the family: Riboswitches are metabolite binding domains within certain messenger RNAs that serve as precision sensors for their corresponding targets. Allosteric rearrangement of mRNA structure is mediated by ligand binding, and this results in modulation of gene expression. This family includes riboswitches that sense lysine in a number of genes involved in lysine metabolism, including lysC. The record is from RNAcentral.